AAUAGAUACCCGGGUAGUCCACGCCGUAAACGAUGGAUACUAGCUGUUUGAGCGCAAGUUUGAGUAGCUAAGCGAAAGUGAUAAGUAUCCCACCUGGGGAGUACGGGCGCAAGCCUGAAACUCAAAGGAAUUGACGGGGGCCCGCACAAGCGGUGGAGCAUGUGGUUUAAUUCGAUGAUACGCGAGGAACCUUACCAGGGCUUAAAUGUAGAUUGACGUAUUUGGAAACAGAUAUUUCUUCGGACAAUUUACAAGGUGCUGCAUGGUUGUCGUCAGCUCGUGCCGUGAGGUGUCAGGUUAAGUCCUAUAACGAGCGCAACCCCUGUUGUUAGUUGCCAGCGAGUAAUGUCGGGAACUCUAGCAAGACUGCCAGUGUAAACUGUGAGGAAGGUGGGGAUGACGUCAAAUCAUCACGGCCCUUACGUCCUGGGCCACACACGUGCUACAAUGGCCGGUACAGAGAGCAGCCACUUAGCGAUAAGGAGCGAAUCUAUAAAGCCGGUCACAGUUCGGAUCGGAGUCUGCAACG
This 529-nucleotide ribosomal RNA is filed under the name uncultured bacterium. RNAcentral describes it as "bacterial SSU rRNA". It matches the Rfam family "Bacterial small subunit ribosomal RNA", at positions 777 to 1312 of the family's 1533-position model. The record is from RNAcentral.